Molecule: ribosomal RNA, 254 nt
Filed under: uncultured bacterium
Lineage: Bacteria
Description: partial 16S ribosomal RNA
Rfam family: Bacterial small subunit ribosomal RNA
Source: RNAcentral
UACGUAGGGCGCAAGCGUUGUCCGGAAUUAUUGGGCGUAAAGAGCUCGUAGGCGGCUUGUCGCGUCGUCCGUGAAAACCCACAGCUCAACUGUGGGCUUGCGGUCGAUACGGGCAGGCUAGAGUUCGGUAGGGGAGAUCGGAAUUCCUGGUGUAGCGGUGAAAUGACGCAGAUAUCAGGAGGAACACCGGUGGCGAAGGCGGAUCUCUGGGCCGAUACUGACGCUGAGGAGCGAAAGCGUGGGGAGCGAACAGG